UACGGAGGGUGCAAGCGUUGUUCGGAAUUACUGGGCGUAAAGCGCGCGCAGGCGGUCUGUUAAGUCAGAUGUGAAAGCCCAUGGCUCAACCAUGGACGUGCAUUUGAAACUGGCAGGCUUGAGUAGUGGAGGGGGUGGUGGAAUUCCCGGUGUAGAGGUGAAAUUCGUAGAUAUCGGGAGGAAUACCGGUGGCGAAGGCGACCACCUGGCCACAUACUGACGCUGAGGCGCGAAAGCGUGGGGAGCAAACAGG
Molecule: ribosomal RNA, 253 nt
Filed under: uncultured bacterium
Lineage: Bacteria
Description: partial 16S ribosomal RNA
Rfam family: Bacterial small subunit ribosomal RNA
Source: RNAcentral